Long non-coding RNA from Vidua chalybeata, 1244 nucleotides. RefSeq lists it as uncharacterized. The record is from RefSeq and is a predicted model, not a curated record. The transcript is spliced from 3 exons. NCBI's taxonomy places the organism in Eukaryota, Metazoa, Chordata, Aves, Passeriformes, Viduidae.
GGAGCGAGCUCGGCCGCGUCUCCCUCACGCGGCAAUGGCGGGCGGGCCGGGUGGCGAAGUGGGACUGCAGGGGAAGGCACACCCGGGGGGCAAAACAAAAUGUAACAGAAAACCCCGCAGCUUUAGCAGGAGCUUCGGGGCUCGGGUGGACAUGGGGUGCUGGGUAAGAGUGUAGCGAAAAAGCCUGAGGCAGCGUCAGAAAACAGCGAGGCUGGGCAGCAGCAGCCGGGCUUCCCUGCAGCAGCUGCCGCACACAGCCGGGGAGACGCGCCCUCUGGGAAGGGGGAGAGGGUCGGGGUCCCCUCGGGUUUUCCCCUGAGACACCCGAAGAGAUGGUGACGGUCCUUUCCAGUGGGACCGGGUGUUAAUUAAGUCCCAGUUCAUGAGGUGAGCAAAGGCUCGCCUGCGGUAGGAGAAGCAGUGGGAGGACAAAGCUCAGUAGUGGCAGCAAAUCCCCCUGGCAGUGACCACAGACCGGCUGUCCCUCUGUCCCCCUGCCGAGAGUGAGAGAGAGCGGGGGCAAAGCCCAGCCCCUCAUGCCCCAGCCAGAAUCUCACCAUAUCUCUGCCCUUCCCAAGAAAAAGCCCUUCAGUGGGACAAAAUUCCAUGAGAGAAAGAUAAAAGAAAGAAAAGGAAAAAUCUUAACCUCCAACAAUCGAACUUCAAUGGAACAAGGCUGCCCUUUAGCCUGUGUACAGAACCCUUCACUGAUAAAAAAGAGAAGAACUACAGACCCCUUUUAAGAAAAGCACACCCAGGAAAAAGAGAAACUGCAGUCAAUUUUCAGGUGGCUUUUAUGAAUAAUCCUUUAAUAUAUCUAGAGGUCAUUUAACACAAGCCUUCGAAAGCAAUUGCCAGCUGGCUUAAAAAGCAAAACCAAACUUCCCUUCCUGCUCUUCCCUCUCUGCCCCCAGCAAAGCCCUGUCAUACUGAAAGAUACAAAUUCUAAUUUAGGCCAGAAGUAUCUCCAUGAGAGAUUUUGCUGAAGAUACAUUGUGAAAGUAGUGGAAGCCACAUGCAUCUGUCAACACGGCAAUAGGAAACCACUUAAGCAGAAAUGAAAAAUGCUCAGCGUUAGCAUCAUGCACGUGGUUUUCAACUGGAAUUAAAACUGCAAGUCCAGGAUAAAAAUGGUGUAUUUGAAAUAUUUUGUAACAUGUAAACAGAAGACAAAAAGCGAUUUAGCAUUCUGCUAAAUAUUGCAAUUCAUACAUCAUGUUAAUUCUUGUGUGUUUCUUAAGCAU